CAAGAAUUCAUAUAUACUUACGCAUUAAUUGUAUUUCUAUGUGAAAGAAAAAGGACAAAGUUUAAACACUGCACAAAAACUCACUAUUCUCCUGAAAGUUAUUCCAAAGCUGAGCUCCGGCUCUAAACCGCUUUCAAGAAGCUCCGACCGGCCACCCUUCUUGGUCAAAAAUGAUGCAGUCUGAGGCUCCGAAAUAAACCCAUUUGAAGAGCCCGGGUUCAGAGUCACCGGUUUAAACCCAUUACUAUUUCUACUACUGGAUCCAUUAAAUGACUUCCUCGCCAUAUGAAACUCAAUUCUCCGAUGAAAAAUCGCCGACUUGUCCUUAUUCGGAUCCGGUUCGUACAGAAUCAUUGAAUCCAUAAACAAGAUGUAUCAAAAUGGAAUGAAAUGAAUAUACACAUAUAUACAUAUAUGUAUGCUUUUGCGUUCUUUAGGUUUUCACAAACUGAUCACGCUGGCGUGACAGAGAGAGAGAUUCAUAGAGCGUUUUUGACUGUGGAGAGAGAGGAAACAGAGCUUUAAAACCCUAAUCAGGGUGUGGUGAAACAGGAACAGAGAGUGCGCUUUGCACUUGUCAUAU
RNAcentral lists this long non-coding RNA (583 nucleotides) under Olea europaea subsp. europaea. Lineage: Eukaryota; Viridiplantae; Streptophyta; Magnoliopsida; Lamiales; Oleaceae. The record is from RNAcentral.